Molecule: ribosomal RNA, 465 nt
Filed under: uncultured bacterium
Lineage: Bacteria
Description: partial 16S ribosomal RNA
Rfam family: Bacterial small subunit ribosomal RNA
Source: RNAcentral
GACGAACGCUGGCGGCGUGCUUAACACAUGCAAGUCGUACGGUAAGGCCCUUUCGGGGGUACACGAGUGGCGAACGGGUGAGUAACACGUGAGUAACCUGCCCACAACUUUGGGAUAACGCUAGGAAACUGGUGCUAAUACUGGAUAUGUGCUCCUGCUGCAUGGUGGGGGUUGGAAAGCUCCGGCGGUUGUGGAUGGACUCGCGGCCUAUCAGCUUGUUGGUGGGGUAGUGGCCUACCAAGGCGGCGACGGGUAGCCGGCCUGAGAGGGUGACCGGCGACAUUGUGGCUGAGAUACGGCCCAGACUCCGACGGGAGGCAGCAGUGGGGAAUAUUGCACGAUGGGCGCAAGCCUGAUGCAGCAACGCCGCGUGCGGGAUGACGGCCUUCGGGUUGUAAACCGCUUUCAGCAGGGACGAAGCUUUUUGUGACGGUACCUGCAGAAGAAGCACCGGCUAACUACGUG